This 253-nucleotide ribosomal RNA is filed under the name uncultured bacterium. RNAcentral describes it as "partial 16S ribosomal RNA". It matches the Rfam family "Bacterial small subunit ribosomal RNA", at positions 524 to 776 of the family's 1533-position model. The record is from RNAcentral.
UACGGAGGGGGCUAGCGUUGUUCGGAAUUACUGGGCGUAAAGCGCACGUAGGCGGCUUUGUAAGUUAGAGGUGAAAGCCCGGGGCUCAACUCCGGAAUUGCCUUUAAGACUGCAUCGCUAGAAUUGUGGAGAGGUAAGUGGAAUUCCGAGUGUAGAGGUGAAAUUCGUAGAUAUUCGGAAGAACACCAGUGGCGAAGGCGACUUACUGGACACAUAUUGACACUGAGGCACGAAAGCGUGGGGAUCAAACAGG